GCCAGUAGGAAGGCUGGGACCCGGGGCAAGGCUGCAGCCACCAAGCAGGCUCAACGUGGCUCUUCCAAUGUCUUCUCAAUGUUCGAGCAAGCCCAGAUUCAGGAAUUCAAGGAAGUGAGUACCCUAUCUCAAACAGCCUCUCACCCCAGGGAGACCGCUUCAUACCCCAUACACAAGCUCUUCUCCGAGGGUCAGUGGUCCUCGUUCACACCACCCGAGCCUCUCUCCCUUGCCUGCGUUCCCUGAAAGAGAUGGGGUUAGUAGCUCCCACCUGAAGGCUGUCUCCUCACAGGCCUUCAGCUGCAUUGACCAGAACAGAGACGGAAUCAUCUGCAAGUCAGACCUGAAGGAGACUUAUUCCCAGCUCGGUGAGUGGAUCCAUAGAUCGGCCUCCCAGUGACCCGUCUUGCUGUCUUCAGGGGCUUGCUCUGAAGGACACGGCCCCGCCCUUUCUCUCACAGGCUAGCCUCAGUUCAGUCACAAGUCCCCCACCCCCGACCUGCCCACAGCUGGAGCUGCCCCUGCCUCUCCCCUCACUGCCUGGGAAGUUGGGGGGAGCAGCCUGGGUCACCUCUAGUCCUACUUUCAUAGGGAGGGUAAGUGUCCCAGAGGAGGAGCUGGAUGCCAUGCUGCAAGAGGGGAAGGGCCCCAUCAACUUCACCGUCUUCCUCACGCUCUUCGGGGAGAAACUCAAUGGUGAGUUUGCAUCAGGUCUGAGUCUCCUUAGCCGGAGAGCAAGGAGUCAGUGGUCCUCGCCUGACCUCACCUGACCCCUGAGCCCCAUGUGAGGCUCUCAACUUAACUCACCUGAAACUUGUGGACUCUGUCUGCCCAUGGCCAACGCAGAGGCCGUGGAGCAUCCUGGACUGACUUAUUCAGGAAACAUCCACUUCCAAAUCAC
This 901-nucleotide long non-coding RNA is filed under the name Rattus norvegicus (Norway rat). Its description in RNAcentral is "long non-coding RNA NONRATT010125". Lineage: Eukaryota; Metazoa; Chordata; Mammalia; Rodentia; Muridae. The record is from RNAcentral.